GAUGAACGCUGGCGGCGUGCCUAAUACAUGCAAGUCGAGCGAACAGACGAGGAGCUUGCUCCUCUGAUGUUAGCGGCGGACGGGUGAGUAACACGUGGAUAACCUACCUAUAAGACUGGGAUAACUUCGGGAAACCGGAGCUAAUACCGGAUAACAUGUUGAACCGCAUGGUUCAACAGUGAAAGACGGUCUUGCUGUCACUUAUAGAUGGAUCCGCGCCGCAUAAGCUAGUUGGUAAGGUAACGGCUUACCAAGGCAACGAUGCGUAGCCGACCUGAGAGGGUGAACGGCCACACUGGAACUGAGACACGGUCCAGUCUCCGACGGGAGGCAGCAGUGGGGAAUCUUCCGCAAUGGGAGAAAGCCUGACGGAACAACGCGGCGUAAGUGAAGAAGGUCUUCGGAUCGUAAAAGUCUGUUAUUAGGGAAGAACAAAUGGGUAAGUAACCAGGCACGUCUUGACGGUACCUGAUCAGAAAGCCACGGCUAACUACGUG
Molecule: ribosomal RNA, 497 nt
Filed under: uncultured bacterium
Lineage: Bacteria
Description: partial 16S ribosomal RNA
Rfam family: Bacterial small subunit ribosomal RNA
Source: RNAcentral